This 496-nucleotide ribosomal RNA is filed under the name uncultured bacterium. RNAcentral's name for it is "partial 16S ribosomal RNA". It matches the Rfam family "Bacterial small subunit ribosomal RNA", at positions 28 to 507 of the family's 1533-position model. The record is from RNAcentral.
GAUGAACGCUGGCGGCGUGCCUAAUACAUGCAAGUCGAGCGAACGGACGAGAAGCUUGCUUUUCUGAUGUUAGCGGCGGACGGGUGAGUAACACGUGGAUAACCUACCUAUAAGACUGGGAUAACUUCGGGAAACCGGAGCUAAUACCGGAUAAUAUUUUGAACCGCAUGGUUCAAAAGUGAAAGACGGUCUUGCUGUCACUUAUAGAUGGAUCCGCGCUGCAUUAGCUAGUUGGUAAGGUAACGGCUUACCAAGGCAGCGAUGCAUAGCCGACCUGAGAGGGUGAUCGACCACACUGGAGCUGGGACACGGUCCAGACCCCUACGGGAGGCAGCAGUAGGGAAUCUACCGCAAUGGGCAAAAGCCUGACGGAGCAACGCGGCGUAAGUGAUAAAGGUCUUCGGAUCGUAAAACUCUGUAUUAGGGAAGAACAUAUGUGUAAGUAACUGUGCACAUCUUGACGGUACCUAAUCAGAAAGCCACGGCUAACUACGUG